GCGCAGGCGCCGGUGCGCGGGGGGGACCAGGAGCCUCCAUUUUCCCUCGCACGCGCUAAUGGCGCAGCUGGGCCCUCUUCCUCUGGCGGGGGUGAAAACUCGCCUCCGGGGAAGCCCGAGGCGCUCGCUCCCCAAACUCUUUCGUCGGUGCGCGUGCUUAAAGCGGGCGGAUGAAGCGUUCUUGAAAAUGGAUGCAAAUGCAUGGGAUAGGCCCCUGACAUGUGAGACCUUGAAACCCAGAAGCCCAGAAUACUAGGGCCAGCUUUCUGGUUAAGUCUGCGUUGGACAUUUUAGACUUUCUAGAGUUUAGACAGAGUUUCGCUCGUCGCCCAGGCUGGAGUGCAGUGGCCCUAUCUCCGCUCACUGCAACCUCCACCUCCCGGAUUCAAGUGAUUCUCCUGCCUCAGCCUCCCAAGUAGCUGGGAUUACAG
Long non-coding RNA from Pan troglodytes (chimpanzee), 431 nucleotides. RefSeq lists it as uncharacterized. The transcript has 3 exons. NCBI's taxonomy places the organism in Eukaryota, Metazoa, Chordata, Mammalia, Primates, Hominidae. The record is from RefSeq and is a predicted model, not a curated record.